This 397-nucleotide ribosomal RNA is filed under the name uncultured bacterium. RNAcentral describes it as "partial 16S ribosomal RNA". It matches the Rfam family "Bacterial small subunit ribosomal RNA", at positions 523 to 918 of the family's 1533-position model. The record is from RNAcentral.
AUACGUAGGGGGCGAGCGUUGUCCGGAAUGAUUGGGCGUAAAGGGCGCGUAGGCGGCCCGGUAAGUCUGGAGUGAAAGUCCUGUUUUUAAGAUGGGAAUUGCUUUGGAUACUGUCGGGCUUGAGUGCAGGAGAGGUAAGUGGAAUUCCCAGUGUAGCGGUGAAAUGCGUAGAGAUUGGGAGGAACACCAGUGGCGAAGGCGACUUACUGGACUGUAACUGACGCUGAGGCGCGAAAGUGUGGGGAGCAAACAGGAUUAGAUACCCUGGUAGUCCACACUGUAAACGAUGAAUGCUAGGUGUAGAGGGUAUCGACCCCUUCUGUGCCGCAGUCAACACAAUAAGCAUUCCGCCUGGGGAGUACGGCCGCAAGGUUGAAACUUAAAGGAAUUGACGGGG